AGAGUUUGAUCAUGGCUCAGGACGAACGCUGGCGGCGUGCUUAACACAUGCAAGUCGAACGGAAAGGCCCUUCGGGGUACUCGAGUGGCGAACGGGUGAGUAACACGUGGGUGAUCUGCCCUGCACUUUGGGAUAAGCCUGGGAAACUGGGUCUAAUACCGAAUAGGACCGCGCGCUUCAUGGUGUGUGGUGGAAAGCUUUUGCGGUGUGGGAUGGGCCCGCGGCCUAUCAGCUUGUUGGUGGGGUAAUGGCCUACCAAGGCGACGACGGGUAGCCGGCCUGAGAGGGUGACCGGCCACACUGGGACUGAGAUACGGCCCAGACUCCUACGGGAGGCAGCAGUGGGGAAUAUUGCACAAUGGGCGCAAGCCUGAUGCAGCGACGCCGCGUGAGGGAUGACGGCCUUCGGGUUGUAAACCUCUUUCACCAGGGACGAAGCGCAAGUGACGGUACCUGGAGAAGAAGCACCGGCCAACUACGUGCCAGCAGCCGCGGUAAUACGUAGGGUGCGAGCGUUGUCCGGAAUUACUGGGCGUAAAGGGUGCGCAGGCGGUUCUGUAAGUCAGAUGUGAAAUCCCCGGGCUUAACCUGGGAACUGCGUUUGAAACUACAGAGCUAGAGUGUGGCAGAGGGGGGUGGAAUUCCAUGUGUAGCAGUGAAAUGCGUAGAGAUAUGGAAGAACAUCGAUGGCGAAGGCAGCCCCCUGGGUUAACACUGACGCUCAUGCACGAAAGCGUGGGGAGCAAACAGGAUUAGAUACCCUGGUAGUCCAA
This 773-nucleotide ribosomal RNA is filed under the name uncultured bacterium. RNAcentral's name for it is "bacterial SSU rRNA". It matches the Rfam family "Bacterial small subunit ribosomal RNA", at positions 8 to 798 of the family's 1533-position model. The record is from RNAcentral.